GGAUGGAUGUCUGAGCGGUUGAAAGAGUCGGUCUUGAAAACCGAAGUAUUGAUAGGAAUACCGGGGGUUUGAAUCCCUCUCCAUCCG
Molecule: transfer RNA, 87 nt
Filed under: Triticum aestivum (bread wheat)
Lineage: Eukaryota; Viridiplantae; Streptophyta; Magnoliopsida; Poales; Poaceae
Rfam family: tRNA
About the family: Transfer RNA (tRNA) molecules are approximately 80 nucleotides in length. Their secondary structure includes four short double-helical elements and three loops (D, anti-codon, and T loops). Further hydrogen bonds mediate the characteristic L-shaped molecular structure. tRNAs have two regions of fundamental functional importance: the anti-codon, which is responsible for specific mRNA codon recognition, and the 3' end, to which the tRNAs corresponding amino acid is attached (by aminoacyl-tRNA synthetases). tRNAs cope with the degeneracy of the genetic code in two manners: having more than one tRNA (with a specific anti-codon) for a particular amino acid; and 'wobble' base-pairing, i.e. permitting non-standard base-pairing at the 3rd anti-codon position.
Source: Rfam by way of RNAcentral